Podarcis lilfordi (Lilford's wall lizard) is the source of this 70-nucleotide non-coding RNA. Lineage: Eukaryota; Metazoa; Chordata; Lepidosauria; Squamata; Lacertidae. The record is from the annotation of a GenBank genome assembly.
GGGAAAGCACAGUUGGUAGAGCAUCUGCUUUGCAUGCAGGAGGUCUCAGGUUCAGUCCCGACUAUCUCCA